Molecule: transfer RNA, 85 nt
Filed under: Eubacteriales Family XIII. Incertae Sedis bacterium
Lineage: Bacteria; Bacillati; Bacillota; Clostridia; Peptostreptococcales; Anaerovoracaceae
Description: tRNA-Leu
Rfam family: tRNA
About the family: Transfer RNA (tRNA) molecules are approximately 80 nucleotides in length. Their secondary structure includes four short double-helical elements and three loops (D, anti-codon, and T loops). Further hydrogen bonds mediate the characteristic L-shaped molecular structure. tRNAs have two regions of fundamental functional importance: the anti-codon, which is responsible for specific mRNA codon recognition, and the 3' end, to which the tRNAs corresponding amino acid is attached (by aminoacyl-tRNA synthetases). tRNAs cope with the degeneracy of the genetic code in two manners: having more than one tRNA (with a specific anti-codon) for a particular amino acid; and 'wobble' base-pairing, i.e. permitting non-standard base-pairing at the 3rd anti-codon position.
Source: RNAcentral
GCGGUCGUGGCGGAAUUGGCAGACGCGCACGGUUGAGGGCCGUGUGCCGCAAGGCGUAAGGGUUCAAGUCCCUUCGACCGCACCA